UUAAGCGACUAAGCGUACACGGUGGAUGCCCUGGCAGUCAGAGGCGAUGAAGGACGUGCUAAUCUGCGAAAAGCGUCGGUAAGGUGAUAUGAACCGUUAUAGCCGGCGAUGUCCGAAUGGGGAAACCCAGUGUGAUUCGUCACACUAUCGUUAACUGAAUACAUAGGUUAACGAGGCGAACCGGGGGAACUGAAACAUCUAAGUACCCCGAGGAAAAGAAAUCAACCGAGAUUCCCCCAGUAGCGGCGAGCGAACGGGGAGCAGCCCAGAGUCUGAAUCAGCUUGUGUGUUAGUGGAACGGUCUGGAAAGUCCGACGGUACAGGGUGAUAGUCCCGUACACCAAAAUGCACAGGCUGUGAACUCGAAGAGUAGGGCGGGACACGUGGUAUCCUGUCUGAAUAUGGGGGGACCAUCCUCCAAGGCUAAAUACUCCUGACUGACCGAUAGUGAACCAGUACCGUGAGGGAAAGGCGAAAAGAACCCCGGCGAGGGGAGUGAAAAAGAACCUGAAACCGUGUACGUACAAGCAGUGGGAGCACCUUCGGGUGUGACUGCGUACCUUUUGUAUAAUGGGUCAGCGACUUAUAUUCUGUAGCAAGGUUAACCGUAUAGGGGAGCCGCAGGGAAACCGAGUCUUAACUGGGCGUUAAGUUGCAGGGUAUAGACCCGAAACCCGGUGAUCUAGCCAUGGGCAGGUUGAAGGUUGGGUAACACUAACUGGAGGACCGAACCGACUAAUGUUGAAAAAUUAGCGGAUGACUUGUGGCUGGGGGUGAAAGGCCAAUCAAACCGGGAGAUAGCUGGUUCUCCCCGAAAGCUAUUUAGGUAGCGCCUCGUGAAUUCAUCUUCGGGGGUAGAGCACUGUUUCGGCUAGGGGGUCAUCCCGACUUACCAACCCGAUGCAAACUACGAAUACCGAAGAAUGUUAUCACGGGAGACACACGGCGGGUGCUAACGUCCGUCGUGAAGAGGGAAACAACCCAGACCGCCAGCUAAGGUCCCAAAGUCAUGGUUAAGUGGGAAACGAUGUGGGAAGGCACAGACAGCCAGGAUGUUGGCUUAGAAGCAGCCAUCAUUUAAAGAAAGCGUAAUAGCUCACUGGUCGAGUCGGCCUGCGCGGAAGAUGUAACGGGGCUAAACCAUGCACCGAAGCUGCGGCAGCGACACUAUGUGUUGUUGGGUAGGGGAGCGUUCUGUAAGCCUGCGAAGGUGACCUGUGAGGGUUGCUGGAGGUAUCAGAAGUGCGAAUGCUGACAUAAGUAACGAUAAAGCGGGUGAAAAGCCCGCUCGCCGGAAGACCAAGGGUUCCUGUCCAACGUUAAUCGGGGCAGGGUGAGUCGACCCCUAAGGCGAGGCCGAAAGGCGUAGUCGAUGGGAAACAGGUUAAUAUUCCUGUACUUGGUGUUACUGCGAAGGGGGGACGGAGAAGGCUAUGUUAGCCGGGCGACGGUUGUCCCGGUUUAAGCAUGUAGGCUGGUUGUCCAGGCAAAUCCGGAUAAUCAAGGCUGAGGUGUGAUGACGAGGCACUACGGUGCUGAAGUAACAAAUGCCCUGCUUCCAGGAAAAGCCUCUAAGCAUCAGGUAACAUUAAAUCGUACCCCAAACCGACACAGGUGGUCAGGUAGAGAAUACCAAGGCGCUUGAGAGAACUCGGGUGAAGGAACUAGGCAAAAUGGUGCCGUAACUUCGGGAGAAGGCACGCUGGUGUGUAGGUGAAGUCCCUGCGGAUGGAGCUGAGACCAGUCGAAGAUACCAGCUGGCUGCAACUGUUUAUUAAAAACACAGCACUGUGCAAACACGAAAGUGGACGUAUACGGUGUGACGCCUGCCCGGUGCCGGAAGGUUAAUUGAUGGGGUUAUCCGUAAGGAGAAGCUCUUGAUCGAAGCCCCGGUAAACGGCGGCCGUAACUAUAACGGUCCUAAGGUAGCGAAAUUCCUUGUCGGGUAAGUUCCGACCUGCACGAAUGGCGUAAUGAUGGCCAGGCUGUCUCCACCCGAGACUCAGUGAAAUUGAACUCGCUGUGAAGAUGCAGUGUACCCGCGGCAAGACGGAAAGACCCCGUGAACCUUUACUAUAGCUUGACACUGAACAUUGAGCCUUGAUGUGUAGGAUAGGUGGGAGGCUUUGAAGCGUGGACGCCAGUCUGCGUGGAGCCAACCUUGAAAUACCACCCUUUAAUGUUUGAUGUUCUAACGUUGGCCCCUUACCGGGGUUGCGGACAGUGUCUGGUGGGUAGUUUGACUGGGGCGGUCUCCUCCCAAAGCGUAACGGAGGAGCACGAAGGUUAGCUAAUCCUGGUCGGACAUCAGGAGGUUAGUGCAAUGGCAUAAGCUAGCUUGACUGCGAGCGUGACGGCGCGAGCAGGUGCGAAAGCAGGUCAUAGUGAUCCGGUGGUUCUGAAUGGAAGGGCCAUCGCUCAACGGAUAAAAGGUACUCCGGGGAUAACAGGCUGAUACCGCCCAAGAGUUCAUAUCGACGGCGGUGUUUGGCACCUCGAUGUCGGCUCAUCACAUCCUGGGGCUGAAGUAGGUCCCAAGGGUAUGGCUGUUCGCCAUUUAAAGUGGUACGCGAGCUGGGUUUAGAACGUCGUGAGACAGUUCGGUCCCUAUCUGCCGUGGGCGCUGGAGAAUUGAGGGGGGCUGCUCCUAGUACGAGAGGACCGGAGUGGACGCAUCACUGGUGUUCGGGUUGUCAUGCCAAUGGCACUGCCCGGUAGCUAAAUGCGGAAGAGAUAAGUGCUGAAAGCAUCUAAGCACGAAACUUGCCCCGAGAUGAGUUCUCCCUGAGACUUUAAGUCUCCUGAAGGAACGUUAAAGACGAUGACGUUGAUAGGCCGGGUGUGUAAGCGCAGCGAUGCGUUGAGCUAACCGGUACUAAUGAACCGUGAGGCUUAACCUU
Molecule: ribosomal RNA, 2900 nt
Filed under: Klebsiella pneumoniae
Lineage: Bacteria; Pseudomonadati; Pseudomonadota; Gammaproteobacteria; Enterobacterales; Enterobacteriaceae
Description: 23S ribosomal RNA
Rfam family: Bacterial large subunit ribosomal RNA
Source: RNAcentral